CCCAGAGGACACAGAGAGGGAGCCCAAUCCAACUACAGCUUUGGCUAGGGAGAACAGCCCCGUGCCUGCUAGUUUGCCUUAUCUGUCAGUCUGUGGCAGGACUCGGGUGACUGAAGAAAACAAGAACUGUAGUUGGCUCGGACUUUCCACACGAGUGACUCAAAGCAAACGAUGCACAGCUGAGCUAGAAGUCACGUUUCUCGUAGACUGAGGCUCACACUCAGAUGCGGCUCCUACAACACAAAGGCUGACUUGGUACUUAGCAAACGCCACAUGGAGCCGUCCUGAGCACACUGCGAAGCAGACACUGGUCUCUCCUCAUACACACAAGGAACUGGCCCAGGAUCACACAAAGGCCAGGUGGCCGAUCUGCUACUCUACACUGCUAAAUGACCCCCCCCACACACACAACACAACCUGUGUUUUCUUUAACACUCUGCAACUUCAGUACUCAGGCAGGGUCCUUCAAAGAUCCUAAACAUGAGUUUCCGGUUCCUGAUCUGAAGAGGACUUUUAAAAAAUCAGCCUUUUCAUUUUA
Peromyscus maniculatus bairdii (prairie deer mouse) is the source of this 538-nucleotide non-coding RNA. The record is from RefSeq and is a predicted model, not a curated record. Lineage: Eukaryota; Metazoa; Chordata; Mammalia; Rodentia; Cricetidae.